UGGGGAAUCUUCCGCAAUGGACGAAAGUCUGACGGAGCAACGCCGCGUGAGUGAAGACGGCCUUCGGGUUGUAAAGCUCUGUGAUCCGGGACGAAAGAGCCUGAGGUGAAUAGCCUAAGGAAGUGACGGUACCGGAAAAGCAAGCCACGGCUAACUACGUGCCAGCAGCCGCGGUAAUACGUAGGUGGCAAGCGUUGUCCGGAAUUAUUGGGCGUAAAGCGCGCGCAGGCGGCUUCCUAAGUCCAUCUUAAAAGUGCGGGGCUUAACCCCGGGAUGGGAUGGAAACUGGGAAGCUGGAGUAUCGGAGAGGAAAGUGGAAUUCCUAGUGUAGCGGUGAAAUGCGUAGAGAUUAGGAAGAACACCGGUGGCGAAGGCGACUUUCUGGACGAAAACUGACGCUGAGGCGCGAAAGCGUGGGGAGCAAACAGG
This 429-nucleotide ribosomal RNA is filed under the name Fusobacteriota bacterium. RNAcentral describes it as "Fusobacteria bacterium partial 16S ribosomal RNA". It matches the Rfam family "Bacterial small subunit ribosomal RNA", at positions 355 to 776 of the family's 1533-position model. Lineage: Bacteria; Fusobacteriati; Fusobacteriota. The record is from RNAcentral.